This 283-nucleotide long non-coding RNA is filed under the name Lathyrus oleraceus (garden pea). RNAcentral describes it as "Pisum sativum (pea) long non-coding RNA (PSAT_LNC026962)". Lineage: Eukaryota; Viridiplantae; Streptophyta; Magnoliopsida; Fabales; Fabaceae. The record is from RNAcentral.
GAUGGGUCUGAUCGGGGGAUGUAGGACCGGUACGACAAAUAUGUGUCGUUGUUCCAUCAUAAGAAAAGUUUUACCAAGACUGUGUUAAUCCAGAGUUCUAGAAGGGAUGAAUUAGAGUCUUAUUUCCCAUUCGAGAGUCGUCCAGAAUGGACAACAUCAAGUAUUGUCUCUUCCACAAGGGUCAUAUGCCACAACAUUGACGACUCGUCCAGUUGAAGGAUGUCAUUUAUGGGUUUAUCAAGAGAAGUCAACUGUUUGAGUACGUGAAGGGAGGGAAGAGAGA